AGAGUUUGAUCAUGGCUCAGAAUCAACGCUGGCGGCGUGCCUCAGACAUGCAAGUCGAACGAUUAAACUCGUCUUCGGACGAGAUAUAAAGUGGCGCACGGGUGAGUAACACGUAGGUAAUCUACCUUUGAGUGGGGAAUAACUUAGGGAAACUUAAGCUAAUACCGCAUAAUGCAGCGGCACCUUCGGGUGACAGUUGUUAAAGGAGCAAUCCGCUUAAAGAGGAGCCUGCGGCAGAUUAGCUAGUUGGUAAGGUAAUGGCUUACCAAGGCUACGAUCUGUAACCGACCUGAGAGGGUGGUCGGUCACACUGACACUGAAUAACGGGUCAGACUCCUACGGGAGGCAGCAGUCGGGAAUUUUGGGCAAUGGGCGAAAGCCUGACCCAGCAACGCCGCGUGAAGGAUGAAGUAUUUCGGUAUGUAAACUUCGAAAGAAUGGGAAGAAUAAAUGACGGUACCAUUUAUAAGGUCCGGCUAACUACGUGCCAGCAGCCGCGGUAAUACGUAGGGACCAAGCGUUGUUCGGAUUUACUGGGCGUAAAGGGCGCGUAGGCGGCGUGUUAAGUCAGCUGUGAAAUCUCCGAGCUUAACUCGGAACGGUCAGCUGAUACUGAUGUGCUAGAGUGCAGAAGGGGCAAUCGGAAUUCUUGGUGUAGCGGUGAAAUGCGUAGAUAUCAAGAGGAACACCUGAGGUGAAGACGGGUUGCUGGGCUGACACUGACGCUGAGGCGCGAAAGCUAGGGUAGCAAACGGGAUUAGAUACCCCAGUAGUCC
RNAcentral lists this ribosomal RNA (776 nucleotides) under uncultured Acidobacteriota bacterium. RNAcentral describes it as "bacterial SSU rRNA". It matches the Rfam family "Bacterial small subunit ribosomal RNA", at positions 8 to 796 of the family's 1533-position model. The record is from RNAcentral. Lineage: Bacteria; Pseudomonadati; Acidobacteriota.